RNAcentral lists this ribosomal RNA (492 nucleotides) under Hylomus enghoffi. RNAcentral describes it as "partial 16S ribosomal RNA". The record is from RNAcentral. Lineage: Eukaryota; Metazoa; Arthropoda; Diplopoda; Polydesmida; Paradoxosomatidae.
AAAGACAUUGCUUUCUGUAAAAGGUAAAAAGUAAUUUCUGCUCACUGCAAAUAUGUGUAAAGAGCUGCAGUAUUAUGACUGUAUAAAGGUAGCAUAAUCAUUAGUUUCUUAAUUAGGAUCUGGUAUGAAGAGUAAACGAGAAGGUGGUAUAUAAUUAUGAAUUAAUGAAAUUGAUAAUUGCGUGAAAAAGUGUAAAAAGACCGAAGGACAAGAAGACCCUAAAAGUUUUAUUUUAUAUUAUAAAAGGAUGUAGAGUUAGAAAAUAUAUUAGUGUUAUUUGUGAUAUGAGGUUUAGCUGGGGCGGUAUAUUUGGGAACAAAAAUUAAUUUUAAUAUUAUAUAUCAAUAUUUAUAGACCUAGUAGGUUUAAUUAAGAGAUGAAUUACUUUAGGGAUAACAGCGUUAUUAUUUUUGAGAGUUCUUAUUGACAAAAUGGUUUGCGACCUCGAUGUUGGAUUAGGAUGAAAGCUGGCGCAGAAGUGGCGAUAUUGGU